AGGACAUCAGUUGAACUUAAGCUUAUCAAUAAGCGGAGGAAAGAAUUUAAUCAGCGCUGCCUCAAUAAAAGCGUGAACAAACGGCCCGCGCAAGCUACAUGUGGAGUGGAGCUUUGUCCCUGACCCUGAUGGUAUGAGUUUAACUUGUUUUGGAUGCAGGCCGCAGAGGGUGCAAGCCACGUGAAGCUCACUCUGCAGACAAGGGAGAACGAAAAAGUAGUUCGGGACUUUUUCUAAAGUGGAAGUUUGGCUUCUUCUAAGGCUAACCACGACUUGAGAACGAUUGCGAGCAAGUACUGCGAAGGGAAGAUGCAAAGCACUUUAAAAGGAGUGAGGAGUAAUUAGUGGGACGUCAGCUUGAUUGAGCGGAA
Molecule: ribosomal RNA, 371 nt
Filed under: Climacostomum virens
Lineage: Eukaryota; Ciliophora; Heterotrichea; Heterotrichida; Climacostomidae
Description: partial Eukaryotic large subunit ribosomal RNA
Rfam family: Eukaryotic large subunit ribosomal RNA
Source: RNAcentral